GUGCUUCUUUUGGCAGCACACAUACUAAAAUUGAAACGAAAUAGAGAAGAUUAGAUGGCCCCUGUGCAAGGAUGACAUGCAAAUUCAUGAAACAUUCCAUAUAUAU
Molecule: small nuclear RNA, 106 nt
Organism: Jaculus jaculus (lesser Egyptian jerboa)
Lineage: Eukaryota; Metazoa; Chordata; Mammalia; Rodentia; Dipodidae
Source: RefSeq, a predicted model, not a curated record